This 541-nucleotide ribosomal RNA is filed under the name uncultured bacterium. RNAcentral's name for it is "bacterial SSU rRNA". It matches the Rfam family "Bacterial small subunit ribosomal RNA", at positions 777 to 1320 of the family's 1533-position model. The record is from RNAcentral.
AAUAGAUACCCCGGUAGUCCACGCCCUAAACGAUGUCUACUAGUUGUCGGGGGGUAACUCCUUCGGUAACGCAGCUAACGCGUGAAGUAGACCGCCUGGGGAGUACGGUCGCAAGAUUAAAACUCAAAGGAAUUGACGGGGACCCGCACAAGCGGUGGAUGAUGUGGAUUAAUUCGAUGCAACGCGAAAAACCUUACCUACCCUUGACAUGCCACUAACGAAGCAGAGAUGCAUUAGGUGCCCGAAAGGGAAAGUGGACACAGGUGCUGCAUGGCUGUCGUCAGCUCGUGUCGUGAGAUGUUGGGUUAAGUCCCGCAACGAGCGCAACCCUUGCCAAUAGUUGCUACGAAAGGGCACUCUAUUGGGACUGCCGGUGACAAACCGGAGGAAGGUGGGGAUGACGUCAAGUCCUCAUGGCCCUUAUGGGUAGGGCUUCACACGUCAUACAAUGGCUGGUACAGAGGGUUGCCAACCCGGCGAGGGGGGAGCCAAUCCCACAAAACCAGUCGUAGUCCGGAUUGCAGUCUGCAACUCGACUGCA